UACGUAGGGUGCAAGCGUUGUCCGGAAUUAUUGGGCGUAAAGAGCUCGUAGGCGGUUUGUCACGUCUGCUGUGAAAUCCCGAGGCUCAACCUCGGGCUUGCAGUGGGUACGGGCAGACUAGAGUGCGGUAGGGGAGAUUGGAAUUCCUGGUGUAGCGGUGGAAUGCGCAGAUAUCAGGAGGAACACCGAUGGCGAAGGCAGAUCUCUGGGCCGUAACUGACGCUGAGGAGCGAAAGCAUGGGGAGCAAACAGG
Molecule: ribosomal RNA, 253 nt
Filed under: uncultured bacterium
Lineage: Bacteria
Description: partial 16S ribosomal RNA
Rfam family: Bacterial small subunit ribosomal RNA
Source: RNAcentral